CCUACGGGAGGCAGCAGUGGGGAAUAUUGGACAAUGGGCGAAAGCCUGAUCCAGCCAUGCCGCGUGUGUGAAGAAGGCCUUCGGGUUGUAAAGCACUUUCAGUGGGGAAGAAAGCCUUGGGGCUAAUACCCUCGAGGAAGGACAUCACCCACAGAAGAAGCACCGGCUAACUCCGUGCCAGCAGCCGCGGUAAUACGGAGGGUGCGAGCGUUAAUCGGAAUUACUGGGCGUAAAGCGCGCGUAGGCGGUCUGAUAAGCCGGUUGUGAAAGCCCCGGGCUCAACCUGGGAACGGCAUCCGGAACUGUCAGGCUAGAGUGCAGGAGAGGAAGGUAGAAUUCCCGGUGUAGCGGUGAAAUGCGUAGAGAUCGGGAGGAAUACCAGUGGCGAAGGCGGCCUUCUGGACUGACACUGACGCUGAGGUGCGAAAGCGUGGGUAGCAAACAGGAUUAGCUACCCUGGUAGUC
This 465-nucleotide ribosomal RNA is filed under the name Vreelandella stevensii. RNAcentral's name for it is "partial 16S ribosomal RNA". It matches the Rfam family "Bacterial small subunit ribosomal RNA", at positions 338 to 795 of the family's 1533-position model. Lineage: Bacteria; Pseudomonadati; Pseudomonadota; Gammaproteobacteria; Oceanospirillales; Halomonadaceae. The record is from RNAcentral.